Molecule: ribosomal RNA, 1250 nt
Filed under: metagenome
Description: bacterial SSU rRNA
Rfam family: Bacterial small subunit ribosomal RNA
Source: RNAcentral
ACAAAAGUGAGCAAGGGAAAUAUUUAUAGCUCUAGGAUCGGCCUGUACGGUAUCAGCUAGUUGGUGAGGUAAUGGCUCACCAAGGCAAUGACACCUAACUGGUUUGAGAGGAUGAUCAGUCACACUGGAACUGAGACACGGUCCAGACUCCUACGGGAGGCAGCAGUGGGGAAUAUUGCACAAUGGACGAAAGUCUGAUGCAGCAACGCCGCGUGGAGGAUGACACAUUUCGGUGCGUAAACUCCUUUUAUAUAGGAAGAUAAUGACGGUACUAUAUGAAUAAGCACCGGCUAACUCCGUGCCAGCAGCCGCGGUAAUACGGAGGGUGCAAGCGUUACUCGGAAUUACUGGGCGUAAAGAGCGUGUAGGCGGGUAAAUAAGUUGGAAGUGAAAUCCUAUGGCUCAACCAUAGAACUGCUUCCAAAACUGUUAACCUAGAAUGUGGGAGAGGUAGAUGGAAUUUCUGGUGUAGGGGUAAAAUCCGUAGAUAUCAGAAGGAAUACCGAUUGCGAAGGCGAUCUACUGGAACACUAUUGACGCUGAGACGCGAAAGCGUGGGGAGCAAACAGGAUUAGAUACCCUGGUAGUCCACGCCCUAAACGAUGUACACUAGUUGUUGUGAGGCUAGACCUUGCAGUAAUGCAGUUAACACAUUAAGUGUACCGCCUGGGGAGUACGGUCGCAAGAUUAAAACUCAAAGGAAUAGACGGGGACCCGCACAAGCGGUGGAGCAUGUGGUUUAAUUCGACAUACGCGAAGAACCUUACCUGGUCUUGACAUAGAAAGAACUUUCCAGAGAUGGAUUGGUGCCUGCUUGCAGGAGCUUUCAUACAGGUGCUGCACGGCUGUCGUCAGCUCGUGUCGUGAGAUGUUGGGUUAAGUCCCGCAACGAGCGCAACCCUCGUCGUUAGUUGCUAACAGUUCGGCUGAGAACUCUAACGAGACUGCCUACGCAAGUAGGAGGAAGGUGAGGACGACGUCAAGUCAUCAUGGCCCUUACGACCAGGGCUACACACGUGCUACAAUGGGGUAUACAAAGAGCAGCGAUACGGUGACGUGGAGCGAAUCUCAAAAAUGCCUCCCAGUUCGGAUAGUAGUCUGCAACUCGACUACUUGAAGUUGGAAUCGCUAGUAAUCGUAGAUCAGUUAUGCUACGGUGAAUACGUUCCCGGGUCUUGUACUCACCGCCCGUCACACCAUGGGAGUUGAAUUCAUUCGAAGCGGGGAUGCUAAAAUAGCUACCUUCCACA